Molecule: long non-coding RNA, 1417 nt
Organism: Gallus gallus (chicken)
Lineage: Eukaryota; Metazoa; Chordata; Aves; Galliformes; Phasianidae
Exons: 3
Source: RefSeq, a predicted model, not a curated record
CACACUUGAUCUUGUCUGGCAAGCUCUAUUGCUCUCAGAGAGUGUUGUUGCUCUUCUGGCUGUUCAACAAGAUUGGUGUCCCAUAGAUUGGCUUAGGGCUCCCCAGCACUGCUGGCUGUCCGUGCCUUCUGUUGCUCCCAGUCAGCACGGCUCUGUUCUUUGCUUUUUGAGUUCCAGAGCGUUUGCUACGGUUAUGGAGUGUUCCCCUUGUCUCUCUUCUUGUCUUCCAUGUUGCCCGUUGGCGCCUCGGUGGAGUUUCAGUGACGCAAAUGCAGACUGCUCUGCGUUGACCAAGUGUGACGCCAAAAGAAGAGGACUGGAGACUGCACCACCAGAUGCCGUUGUCAUUCCUGACCUCCCUGGGUUGUGGCGUUGGACGUGCCCUGAUCCUUGGAAAGGGGUAAGAGAUCUGUAUUUCUUUAUCAGAAGGUGAUCUCUACUUACCUUGUCUUGUGUCCAUCAGGUGGCAGUGGAGUGUUGUGACCCUCUGGAGCGGUGCAAGGACUCUACUGAGGCUCUUGGUGGACACAGCAAGAACCCACAGCCAGAGACGGACGCCAAGAUCUGCUCCUUCCUCUCUCUGGCAAGCCCUGUUGUCUCCUGAGGUCGUUCCCACGCUUGCAGAGGUCCUAAGGGCUUGGUGUCGGUUGUCCCUUGUGCUCACCUUGCUGUCACCGGGUGUUCUUUCUUUGCCCAUCGUAGGGGUCCCCAGUUCUGAUGGGAUCUCAGCACCUUCUGCUGCUCUGAGAGAACACCGGUUUGUUCUCUUAUUUUCAGGUUCACUAUCAUUUCUUCAUGUUAUGCUGUGUUUCUCUUAGUUUCCUUUCUUUUCCAGGCUGCCAACUGAGGCCUCGUUGGAGUUUGAGUGACCCAAAUGCAGACUGCUACGCGUUGACCAAGGGUGAUGCCAAAAGAAGAGGAUUGGGGACGUCAGCACCAGAUGCCGUUGCACUUCCUGACCUCCCCGGGUUGCAGCGUUGGAAGUGCCUGGACCCUUGGAAAGGCUUAAGUGAUUCCUUCAUCACUGCCAGAAUGUAGUUUGUGUUCAUCAGGUGAUGGUGGAGAACUGCGGCCUUUUCGUCAGUGCAAAGAGUCUACUGAGGCUGUAGGUGGAGAGAACAGGAACGCAGAGCCAUGGGUGGAUGCCAAGAUCCACUCCUUCCUCUGUCUGGCAAGCUCUGUUGAUCCCUGAGGUCAUUCCCAUGCUUGCAGAGGUCCUAUGCGCUUGGUGUCGGUUGUUCCUUGCGCUCACUUGGCUUUCACUGGGUGUUGUUGCCUUGUAACCUUUUUCCCACCCUCUGUUUCCAAGCAGGAGCUCCCCUUGGCCUCCAUGUCUCGCUCUGGCCAGGCAGAUGUGGUGUGCCAACGGUACACAGAGUCCAGACCCUGAGCAGAACAACAACUGAGCAGAGAGGCU